This 70-nucleotide transfer RNA is filed under the name Pythium insidiosum. RNAcentral describes it as "tRNA-Gln". It matches the Rfam family "tRNA". From Rfam's summary of the family: Transfer RNA (tRNA) molecules are approximately 80 nucleotides in length. Their secondary structure includes four short double-helical elements and three loops (D, anti-codon, and T loops). Lineage: Eukaryota; Oomycota; Peronosporomycetes; Pythiales; Pythiaceae. The record is from RNAcentral.
GGUCUUAUGGUGUAUGGUUUAGCACUCUGGACUUUGAAUCCAGCGAUCCGGUUCGGUCCCGGUAGGACCU